AUAUACAAUAGAAAUAUUUAUUCUGAAUUGUAUAACAAUACAGAGAAGAUUAGCAUGGCCCCUGCGCAAGGAUGACAGGCAAAUUCGUGAAGCAUUCCAUAUUUUU
Molecule: small nuclear RNA, 106 nt
Filed under: Amazona collaria (yellow-billed parrot)
Lineage: Eukaryota; Metazoa; Chordata; Aves; Psittaciformes; Psittacidae
Source: RNAcentral